This 253-nucleotide ribosomal RNA is filed under the name uncultured bacterium. RNAcentral's name for it is "partial 16S ribosomal RNA". It matches the Rfam family "Bacterial small subunit ribosomal RNA", at positions 524 to 776 of the family's 1533-position model. The record is from RNAcentral.
UACGAAGGGUGCAAGCGUUGUUCGGAUUUAUUGGGCGUAAAGCGCGCGCAGGCGGAAAAGCAAGUCAGAUGUGAAAUCUCGGGGCUUAACCCCGAACGUGCGUCUGAAACUACUUUUCUAGAGUAAUGGAGGGGGAAGGGGAAUUUCACAUGUAGGGGUAAAAUCCGUAGAGAUGUGAAGGAACACCAGAGGCGAAGGCGCCUUCCUGGCCAUUUACUGACGCUGAGGCGCGAAAGCGUGGGGAUCAAACAGG